CCUACGGGGUGCAGCAGUGGGGAAUAUUGCACAAUGGGCGCAAGCCUGAUGCAGCCAUGCCGCGUGUACGAAGAAGGCCUUCGGGUUGUAAAGUACUUUCAGCGGGGAGGAAGGUGUUGUGGUUAAUAACCACAGCAAUUGACGUUACCCGCAGAAGAAGCACCGGCUAACUCCGUGCCAGCAGCCGCGGUAAUACGGAGGGUGCAAGCGGUAAUCGGAAUUACUGGGCGUAAAGCGCACGCAGGCGGUCUGUCAAGUCGGAUGUGAAAUUCCCGGGCUCAACCUGGGAACUGCAUUCGAAACUGGCAGGCUAGAGUCUUGUAGAGGGGGGUAGAAUUCCAGGUGUAGCGGUGAAAUGCGUAGAGAUCUGGAGGAAUACCGGUGGGGAAGGCGGCCCCCUGGACAAAGACUGACGCUCAGGUGCGAAAGUGUGGGGAGCGAACAGGAUUAGAUACCCUUGUAGUC
RNAcentral lists this ribosomal RNA (465 nucleotides) under uncultured bacterium. RNAcentral's name for it is "bacterial SSU rRNA". It matches the Rfam family "Bacterial small subunit ribosomal RNA", at positions 338 to 795 of the family's 1533-position model. The record is from RNAcentral.